RNAcentral lists this transfer RNA (90 nucleotides) under Gillisella vitis. RNAcentral's name for it is "Agrobacterium vitis (Allorhizobium vitis) tRNA-Ser". It matches the Rfam family "tRNA". From Rfam's summary of the family: Transfer RNA (tRNA) molecules are approximately 80 nucleotides in length. The record is from RNAcentral. RNAcentral also lists the same sequence under 7 other names. Lineage: Bacteria; Pseudomonadati; Pseudomonadota; Alphaproteobacteria; Hyphomicrobiales; Rhizobiaceae.
GGAGAGGUGGCCGAGUGGUCGAAGGCGCUCCCCUGCUAAGGGAGUAUACCAGAGAUGGUAUCGUGGGUUCGAAUCCCAUCCUCUCCGCCA